RNAcentral lists this long non-coding RNA (1736 nucleotides) under Homo sapiens (human). Its description in RNAcentral is "non-protein coding BAALC-AS1:7". Lineage: Eukaryota; Metazoa; Chordata; Mammalia; Primates; Hominidae. The record is from RNAcentral.
CGCCGCCCGGCCUCACUCCGCGGCCCGCCAGGACCCGGCCCCGGUGAACGGGCUCGGGGUGCCGAGGUCCGGCUGCGGGGCCGGGAAGCCACCUCCACCUUGCCGUCUGUUACGACCCCCGAGGCGCAAGGCUGAGCCCCAUCUCGCUAUCCGGGUCCGGAGGGGUUCACCUUAGAAGGAUUUUUUGAAGCUCUUGGCGCUGGCUCUAAAAGAACCCACUUCCUUGCGGAUUUCAGGAGUCAAGAAUCCUUAAACGGAGCCAAUUUGCUUUGUAAAGCCAAUUGCCCAAGUGACUUGAGUUCGAAAGGAGAUACUUCCUGGACAACUGCUAUAAAAACAACAACAAAUACUUUUAUUAAUUCGGGGAGCCUGGUCACCAACUGGAUGCUCAGAUGGAACCCUGAGCAGCCCAUGUACAUGGAAGAUCUUUAUUGCAGAGAUCUUCAAACCAGGAAACUGAGGCUAAAGAGUUUAGUAUUCUGCCAAGGCCAGCUAAUAGUUACAGAGCAUGGUUCCAAAUUCAGAGCUGUCGGAAGCUUAAGCCCAUGUGAUGAACCACGAAUGUGAUUUUACCUCAUUUAAGCCUUGCAGCAAACUCUGCCAAGCUGUCUCUACCAGGCCAGAAUUUGGGGCAGGCAAGAUUUUCAGCAUCCCUAAAAUCACACUAAGAAGAUAAACAUGGAAACAGCUUGGAGCUGCCCUACCCAUAGUGAGGUGGUACUGACUGGAAGACAGCUUAAACGAUUUGGAGAAAAGUGGAAUACAUUAAUCUCAGAAAACUCUACCACCUGUAGAAAGAGAGCUAAAAUGGAGACAACCACAGGCAGUCUAAGAUACGCUGAACUACUACAGAAAAUAAUGCAGCAUGAAGGAAUGCUGGAAGGUAUGGGGUCAGAGCAAGCUGAUGGAGGGUCCUUCAUUUCCAAGCCACGAGUACAGCAGGAUGUAAGGCUUAGUUCAUAAGAACAUCUCCUGAAAGACAAUCUCUAUAAAAACUGUUUCAAUAGAAAGAAUGCAAGAUGUAACUGUUUAAUAAUAGGACUGAUAUUUUAAAAAACAAAUGAACGUAAUAGAAGACUAGAUGGAUGUGCUUCUCAAAGUCCUCUCUGUGGGAGGCUUCAUCCUCACUCUAGAUGUGUUGCCUGUAGCAGCUGUUAUUGAUUACCCGCCCAUAGCCUAUCCAUACUUACUCAUCAUUCCUUUACCUACCAGUGGCAUCCUAUUGGAAGCACCUGCGACUUUCUUAGGGCUUUCUCUUGGCCAAGCAUUGGAAGGCCAGCAGUAUUGAAAAGUUAAUAGUCUUGGAAGCACUGGCCCUCAACUAAUGACAAAGAAAAAAUAUAAGAUAAAUUCCCCAGCUUCCUUGCCUCCUGAAUGGGUCAAGUCUGUGGUGUGUUCUACCCGUUUUUCAGAGGUCCCAUGUUUUAAACCCUAGCUGCUCAAGGCAAUUUCCUGAUCAUUGAUGUACUCUCUAUUGGCUAAUUUUUAGAUAAUAUGGAAUAUGCUCAAAAUAGGAUACUCAAAGAAAAAAUCAGAUGCCAAAAUUAUGUACACCGAAUGAGUUCAAUUCUGUAUAAGUGUGGACAUACACACAUCAAAAGAAAUAUGGAACAAAAGAUACUAAAUGUUUAUAGUGGUUAUUUCUGGGUGUUGAAAUUUUAAGUGAUUUUCCUUUUCUUCUUUGUAAUUGUCUCUAUUUUUCAGUUUUUUCAAUAUACCCUGUAUUUCUUUUAAAA